This is a long non-coding RNA of Gallus gallus (chicken), 1310 nucleotides long. RefSeq lists it as uncharacterized. The record is from RefSeq and is a predicted model, not a curated record. The transcript is spliced from 2 exons. Lineage: Eukaryota; Metazoa; Chordata; Aves; Galliformes; Phasianidae.
ACUGACACAGAAAUAUCUACAAAAAGGCAGUAAAGUCAUGAGUCAUGACCACUAUGAAUGAAAAACAUUCACUUGUAGCGGGGGCCACUUUUGGAAGCUUCACCUGUGAAAGAUGUGGUGGAUGAACCCAAUUCCAAGACUUUCUGGUACAAUUGUGGAACUACUCAUUACAGAAUUCUCAUUCACUGUGAAGCUGCAAGAUGUAUAUUAGAAUAGAGACUGAUGGUGGUAUAGAAGUAAUGGUCACACAUUACAAGAAAAAGAUUGCAGAGAGAAGGUAGUAAAGGGACACGUUUUGGAGGCCAAUGUUAUCGUCAUUGGUGCUUACAUCUUGAUGAGCAAUAGCAGCAAUCUGGAAUGCUCAGGCAUCAUUGCCUUGUUUCAUUAGUGUGGCCCUCUACAAAUCUGUACAGUUAAGUAUGCUGAACAUUUUUUUAAUCUUUCAUUUCUAUCAUGAGAAAAGGAAACAUCAUAGCAAAACACAUUGGAUAUGACCUGUUCAUACAUGAUCUAAGCUCAACAGGCAUACAUGUGAGAUCCUUACAUAAAGAUGCACUUUAUAAAGUUUGCCAACUAUAGAUUUUCAAUGGCUAGUGUGGAUCAAUAAAAAGAAAUGUUCUGGUUCUACUCACUAACAGCGUUGACUGAAAUUAAUGUUUUGAGCCUAUUUCUAUUUUGAUAUAGUUACCUCUCGGGGAGAAAAUAUUUAACCAAUAUUCUCCCAAAGAGUCCUGCUGUGAACAGCUGUGAAUUAUCUUCUGGAGAAAAUUAAUCUAAGCUGGUGUUUUUCUGCAAAACAGCAAUCCAAGGGCAACAAAGAUGUUGUGUCACAUUCCUGAUACAGAAGCUACUGAGCCCUAAUGGCUGCUUAACCAAGUGAAUCCUGCUGUGUUUCCAAAUUCUGAUCACUUCACAACAUAAGGAGAGGCACAAGGAAAGUGACCAGGUGCUCCUCUGUUUAUAAAUCUAUAGUACUGUGUUAUGGAUUGAGGUUUCAGAAGAUGUCAAUGUAAAAUUGGAUUUAUUAUCCAGUUACGCUCUCUAUUAUUAAGACAAAGAUGUUAAUUGCUGUCUCUUAUUCUUCUUCAUGUUUCAAUAAUUCCAGUCUUUCUCCAGCAGGUUGACUCAGGAAUGGACACAGAGUAGACCUCAACUUGAACUCUGGAAAGAUACAAAGGUGACUUGCCCGUGCACUCAACACGUGAUUAUCGAACUAGAAUGUUUUGGUCUGGAGAUGCUGGCACAUACCUAUGUUGACUUAGAAUGAAAAAAAAAAAAAAGGUUAAUAAAGCCAAUACAGAGCUUCCAAA